GAUGAACGCUGGCGGCGUGCCUAAUACAUGCAAGUCGAGCGAACAGACGAGGAGCUUGCUCCUCUGACGUUAGCGGCGGACGGGUGAGUAACACGUGGAUAACCUACCUAUAAGACUGGGAUAACUUCGGGAAACCGGAGCUAAUACCGGAUAAUAUAUUGAACCGCAUGGUUCAAUAGUGAAAGACGGUUUUGCUGUCACUUAUAGAUGGAUCCGCGCCGCAUUAGCUAGUUGGUAAGGUAACGGCUUACCAAGGCAACGAUGCGUAGCCGACCUGAGAGGGUGAUCGCCCACACUGGAACUGAGACACGGUCCAGACUCCUACGGGAGGCAGCAGUAGGGAAUCUUACGCAAUGGGCGAAAGCCUGACGGAGCAACGCCGCGUGAGUGAUGAAGGUCUUCGGAUCGUAAAACUCUGUUAUUAAGGAAGAACAAAUGUGUAAGUAACAAUGCACGUCUUGACGGUACCGAAUCAGAAAGCCACGGCUAACUACGUG
This 497-nucleotide ribosomal RNA is filed under the name uncultured bacterium. RNAcentral describes it as "partial 16S ribosomal RNA". It matches the Rfam family "Bacterial small subunit ribosomal RNA", at positions 28 to 507 of the family's 1533-position model. The record is from RNAcentral.